This 391-nucleotide unclassified non-coding RNA is filed under the name Hevea brasiliensis (rubber tree). The record is from RNAcentral. Lineage: Eukaryota; Viridiplantae; Streptophyta; Magnoliopsida; Malpighiales; Euphorbiaceae.
UUUUAGAUAUGUUAUUUGAAUGAGCUGAGCCUUUUGAAAUAUAUAUAUGCUUGUAUAGAUUUGGCACCACUUCUUUAAAUUCGACAUAAAGAAGUGCUGACCGGGAUUAUUAUUGAAUCUUUAUUUGUCAAAAUGGUAAGGCAUUAGUUCUGGGUUGUGACUUGCAUUCAUAAAUUAAAAAAUGUCAAUACAUCUCACACUAUCAACCCCAACCCCCCCGGGCCUCUUCUGCUCUCUUCCCUUACUCUUCUUCUUCUUCAAAAAAAAAAAAAAAAAAUCCAUUUGUGUUCAUCCUCUCCUACUACAAACUUCUAUGCUGAUGCCACUAUAGUUAAUGAGUUUAAUUGUUGGGUCGGUAUCUAAUUGUUUUCUAUAUAUUGAUUUCUGAUUG